UAAGUUGGUAGUGAAAGCGUUCGGCUCAACCGGAUACACAUUAUCAAAACUGCAAAGCUAGAGGGCGAGAGAGGUUACUGGAAUUCCCAGUGUAGGAGUGAAAUCCGUAGAUAUUGGGAGGAACACCGAUGGCGUAGGCAGGUAGCUGGCUCGUCCCUGACACUAAGGCACGAAAGCGUGGGGAGCGGACGGGAUUAGAUACCCCGGUAGUCCACGCCGUAAACUAUGGAUGCUA
RNAcentral lists this ribosomal RNA (235 nucleotides) under uncultured Candidatus Saccharibacteria bacterium. Its description in RNAcentral is "partial 16S ribosomal RNA". It matches the Rfam family "Bacterial small subunit ribosomal RNA", at positions 584 to 818 of the family's 1533-position model. Lineage: Bacteria; Candidatus Saccharimonadota. The record is from RNAcentral.